Long non-coding RNA from Sapajus apella (tufted capuchin), 168 nucleotides. RefSeq lists it as uncharacterized. NCBI's taxonomy places the organism in Eukaryota, Metazoa, Chordata, Mammalia, Primates, Cebidae. The transcript is spliced from 3 exons. The record is from RefSeq and is a predicted model, not a curated record.
UGAUUCAAUUACCUCCCACUGAAUCCCUCCCACAACAUAUGAGAAUUCUAGGAGAUACGAUUCAAAUUGAGAUUUGAAUGGGAACACACCCAAACCAUAUCAUUCUGCCCCUGGCCCCUCCAAAUCUCAUGUCCUCACAUUUCAAAACCAAUCAUGCUUUCCCAGCAG